RNAcentral lists this long non-coding RNA (290 nucleotides) under Nicotiana benthamiana. Its description in RNAcentral is "long non-coding RNA (NBEN_LNC002276)". The record is from RNAcentral. Lineage: Eukaryota; Viridiplantae; Streptophyta; Magnoliopsida; Solanales; Solanaceae.
UUGCAGAAAUUCCUUUUCUGUCCUAUUUUCGUUUGUUUUCUUUCUUCUUUCGGAAUUUUUGCUCUUUCAAGUAUAAGGUAGAGCUUUUGAAUUGCAAAAUUUAUUCUUAACUAUACUUUUCAGAGGGCCAAGAGUAAAUAGAGAAGACUGCUUGUGGGUGUAGAAGAAGAGGGAAAGCUAAGAUUUUUUGUUAUCCAAAGGGGAGAGUCGUUCAUCUCUAUUGAAGAUGGCAGAGAGCAGCGCCGUCUCUGUUUUGAAAGGAGGGGUCUCUUCUUCUAGCUCUUUUUUUC